UGGAAAAGUGGCAGAGAGGUCGAAUGCACCGGUUUUGAAAACCGACGUAGUUAAUCCUACCGGGGGUUCGAAUCCCUCCUUUUCCGU
This 87-nucleotide transfer RNA is filed under the name Derbesia sp. WEST4838. RNAcentral describes it as "tRNA-Ser". It matches the Rfam family "tRNA". From Rfam's summary of the family: Transfer RNA (tRNA) molecules are approximately 80 nucleotides in length. Their secondary structure includes four short double-helical elements and three loops (D, anti-codon, and T loops). Lineage: Eukaryota; Viridiplantae; Chlorophyta; Ulvophyceae; Bryopsidales; Derbesiaceae. The record is from RNAcentral.